Molecule: ribosomal RNA, 432 nt
Filed under: uncultured bacterium
Lineage: Bacteria
Description: partial 16S ribosomal RNA
Rfam family: Bacterial small subunit ribosomal RNA
Source: RNAcentral
ACGAACGCUGGCGGCAUGCCUAACACAUGCAAGUCGAACGAGACCUUCGGGUCUAGUGGCGCCCGGGUGCGUAACGCGUGGGAACCUGCCCUUAGGUUCGGAAUAACUCCCCGAAAGGGGUGCUAAUACCGGAUAAUGUCUUCGGACCAAAGAUUUAUCGCCUUUGGAUGGGCCCGCGUUGGAUUAGCUAGUUGGUAGGGUAAAAGCCUACCAAGGCGACGAUCCAUAGCUGGUCUGAGAGGAUGAUCAGCCACACUGGGACUGAGACACGGCCCAGACUCCUACGGGAGGCAGCAGUGGGGAAUAGUGGACAACGGGCGAAAGCCUGAUCCAGCAAUGCCGGGUGAGUGAUGAAGGCCUUAGGGUUGUAAAGCUCUUUUAACCGGGAUGAUAAUGACGGUACCGGGAGAAUAAGCUCCGGCUAACUCCGUG